CUUAGCUCAGGCCAGACCCUCACUGCUAAGGAGUUGCCAUUAUCAUCCCCGAUAUGGAGGCGGGGAACCCAAAACACCAAGAGCAGUGGGUGCUUAGGAAGCCACAGAGCUGGGAGUAGAGCCCCAGCAGCCUGAUCCAGAGCCCCUGUUCUUCACCACCACCCUGCCCUCCUCCAGGGAGCACAAUGGGGGUCCCGGAGCCUCUUUCCAUCUGUUGGAUCUCGGUGAGAGGGUCUCACUCUGUCACCCAGGCUGGAGCUCUGUGGCACGAUUGCACUGCAGCCUCAGAUUCCCAGGCUCAAGCAAUCCUCCUGCCUCAGCCUCCCAAGUAGCUGGGACUACAGCAUGCAGAUAUUCCCGAAAGCGGACUAAACCUGAUAUUUACAAAAACAUAGUUUUAAAUGAUCAAG
Molecule: long non-coding RNA, 410 nt
Filed under: Homo sapiens (human)
Lineage: Eukaryota; Metazoa; Chordata; Mammalia; Primates; Hominidae
Description: HSALNT0351268
Source: RNAcentral